RNAcentral lists this long non-coding RNA (1317 nucleotides) under Anolis carolinensis (green anole). RNAcentral describes it as "lncRNA (ENSACAG00000036294.1)". The record is from RNAcentral. Lineage: Eukaryota; Metazoa; Chordata; Lepidosauria; Squamata; Anolidae.
CUUAGCCAAGGCGUUUAAACAAGAAGCCACGCUCCUCGCAAGUCUCCAGAAGGAGCUAGCAAAAAACACCGAUGCAUCUGGCAAACUUCUAGCAGGAGCGGUCGCCCUACGUAGAAACGCUUGGUUGAGGGCUGCUACACUGUCCCCAUCCGCUCGUUCCCUCAUCGAGGAUCUUCCCAUGGACGAGGCCGGGUUAUUUAACCCUGAAACUGACUCACAAUUGGAACAUUCCCACAAAAUGAAGCAGACCAUUAAUAAAUAUGGUCAACAUCCUCACCAACCUUAUUCUUACCAUCAGCGUUGGGGAUAUCAAUCCCAAUACUACCGGGGACGUUACAGCCCCUCAUUUUCUCGGGGAAGGCAGCGCCAGCAGCCCACCUUCACAGGGAACCGUAAGCCGUCUUUCCCUUCCAGAGGUCAAUACAAGGGGCCCAAGCCAGCGGACAAUAGGAGACGGCGCUUUUAGCCCAAUAUCUCCAUUGCCCACGUCGUUGUUUCCAGUUCAUUCCGAAGCCCUGUUGGCUUCUAGUUCCCUAGUUGUUCAACACCCCUCCCCUCCAGAAGUUCCCCGUUUAUACCUUAACAGGCUCGUUCCAUAUUUGGAUGAGUGGCAGCGAAUCACAUCGGAUUCAUGGGUUUUGAGUAUUGUGGAGGAAGGUUACUCUAUUGAGUUUCUUUCCCUUCCACCAGUGGGACACGUUUGUGCCACCUCUCCUUCAGAUGUACUCCUCGAGGAAAUAUCUGUCCUGAUUGACAAAGGAGCCAUCUCUUCUAUCCCGCCCAACAAGAUCCACCUUGCCUAUUUUUCUCGUUAUUUCCUGGUUACCAAACGAGGAGGGGGUCUCCGCCCAAUACUGGACCUGCGCGGUAUUAACCGUUUCAUCAAACCGCGCAAGUUUCGGAUGGUGUCGCUUCCCACAAUUCUCCCUUUCAUUAGGAAAGGAGCCUGGUUAGCCUCGGUGGACCUCAAAGAUGCUUAUUUCCACAUCUCUGUUAAAGAGGACCACCGUAGAUUCCUUAGUUUUGCAGUAGAUGACCGUUUCUUCUCCUACAAUGUUUUGCCCUUCGGCCUCUCCACAGCCUCAAGGGUUUUCACUAAAUGCAUGUCAGUAGUAGCAGCAUACUUACGUCAACACCGUGUAAUGGCAUUUCCAUAUUUAGACGAUUGGCUUUUAUCAUCAAAUUCUAGAGACCAACUAAAAUCUGACAUUCGUUUCACCCUAUCUCUCUUACAGACUCUAGGCCUCAUUGUCAACCAAGAAAAAUCCCACCUCUUACCCACCCAACGCAUCAGUUUUAUCGGUGCCAUUAUAGAUU